Molecule: non-coding RNA, 26 nt
Filed under: Rattus norvegicus (Norway rat)
Lineage: Eukaryota; Metazoa; Chordata; Mammalia; Rodentia; Muridae
Source: RNAcentral
UAAAUAAUAAACUUAUGCUACUCGAU